RNAcentral lists this ribosomal RNA (646 nucleotides) under uncultured bacterium. RNAcentral's name for it is "bacterial SSU rRNA". It matches the Rfam family "Bacterial small subunit ribosomal RNA", at positions 66 to 715 of the family's 1533-position model. The record is from RNAcentral.
ACUGUUUUGAAGAUUUCUUCGGAAUGAAUUUGAUUUAGUUUAGUGGCGGACGGGUGAGUAACGCGUGAGUAACCUGCCUUCAAGAGGGGGAUAACAUUCUGAAAAGAAUGCUAAUACCGCAUGAUAUAUCGGAAUCACAUGAUUUUGAUAUCAAAGAUUUUAUCGCUUGAAGAUGGACUCGCGUCCGAUUAGUUAGUUGGUGAGGUAACGGCUCACCAAGACCGCGAUCGGUAGCCGGACUGAGAGGUUGAACGGCCACAUUGGGACUGAGACACGGCCCAGACUCCUACGGGAGGCAGCAGUGGGGGAUAUUGCGCAAUGGGGGCAACCCUGACGCAGCAACGCCGCGUGAAGGAUGAAGGUUUUCGGAUUGUAAACUUCUUUUAUUAAGGACGAAACUUGACGGUACUUAAUGAAUAAGCUCCGGCUAACUACGUGCCAGCAGCCGCGGUAAUACGUAGGGAGCAAGCGUUGUCCGGAUUUACUGGGUGUAAAGGGUGCGUAGGCGGCUUUGCAAGUCAGAUGUGAAAUCUAUGGGCUCAACCCAUAAACUGCAUUUGAAACUGUAGAGCUUGAGUGAAGUAGAGGCAGGCGGAAUUCCCCGUGUAGCGGUGAAAUGCGUAGAGAUGGGGAGGAACACCAGUGG